RNAcentral lists this ribosomal RNA (174 nucleotides) under Geobacillus stearothermophilus. RNAcentral describes it as "partial 16S ribosomal RNA". It matches the Rfam family "Bacterial small subunit ribosomal RNA", at positions 1 to 168 of the family's 1533-position model. The record is from RNAcentral. Lineage: Bacteria; Bacillati; Bacillota; Bacilli; Caryophanales; Anoxybacillaceae.
UUCUUUGGAGAGUUUGAUCCUGGCUCAGGACGAACGCUGGCGGCGUGCCUAAUACAUGCAAGUCGAGCGGACCGAACGAGGGCUUGCUCUUGUUUGGUCAGCGGCGGACGGGUGAGUAACACGUGGGCAACCUGCCCGCAAGACCGGGAUAACUCCGGGAAACCGGAGCUAAUA